Molecule: transfer RNA, 87 nt
Filed under: Myxococcales bacterium
Lineage: Bacteria; Pseudomonadati; Myxococcota; Myxococcia; Myxococcales
Description: tRNA-Ser
Rfam family: tRNA
About the family: Transfer RNA (tRNA) molecules are approximately 80 nucleotides in length. Their secondary structure includes four short double-helical elements and three loops (D, anti-codon, and T loops).
Source: RNAcentral
GGAGGAGUGGCCGAGUGGUCGAAGGCGGCGGACUUGAAAUCCGCUGAAUCCGCAAGGGUUCCGGGGGUUCGAAUCCCUUCUCCUCCG